Long non-coding RNA from Triticum aestivum (bread wheat), 2977 nucleotides. RefSeq lists it as uncharacterized. Lineage: Eukaryota; Viridiplantae; Streptophyta; Magnoliopsida; Poales; Poaceae. The transcript has 5 exons. The record is from RefSeq and is a predicted model, not a curated record.
UAGCCAUAUCGGUGAACCUCGUUCUCGGUGUCGUGCUCGUGUGAUUGCUUGUACCUCGGAUGAUCGACGGAGUGCCUCGGAUUUAUUCUAACAAGUGGUAUCAUGAGCAAGGUUACGGACAGGCUGUUGCGUUGAGCCGAGUUCGUUCGCUGAUUUAGUUCGUCAUGGGAGACGAUCGUGUAUCAGCGGAAGAAAGCGGCGGUCGAAGAAAUCGAUGGAAGCAGCGGGGCGUAAUGCGUGCAAGCUGGCGGCGGUUUGUUCAGAGUCUCGACGAGAUGCGAUCGAAAUCAGCGGCAUCAGGAGAGUCGUGAGGCGGUCGGUCGACGGAUUGAUGGUGCGAGCGUACUCUAGGCGGGCGCUGAGAUCGCUGGCGCUUGGUGGCUCGUUGGGCAGCAAGCCCAGGUGGGGCUGGCCGUAGCGAUCCGUGCAGGUGGGCAGGGCAAGGCGUGCAACGCGAGCAGGUUCAGUUGGCCGGUGAAGCACGCAGGAAGCGCAACAAAGCAGCGAAACGAGUUUUGUUUGUAAAAAAAAAGGACCGGGUCCUUGUGUGACACGGACUGAGGCAGAUCAAUCGGUAAGGAAAAAGUCUAUCAAGGGACAUGCGUACAUCAGGAGGCUAAGGAUUUGACAAAGCAAAUAGCUAGCAUUGAGAGUUGAGCCUAGGAGCUACAUCACGUGAAGACCGACAUUGUUUUGGUUGAAUUGCUACUAGUCUACUACUCUUAAUGGACGACUUGGUGAAUAGUCAUCUGGUCAAAUUUCGCUGGUUAUUUUUCGUCAUACUCCCACCGUCGGUUUUUUUUCUUCAUCAUAUUCCGGUUUAUUUUCGUCAUCCUAUCGAAAACAGAUGCGCUCGAUCCCCUCUCACGCUAGGGUUCGUAGAGGUUGCGCCGCCACCGCUCGGCUCGGCCUCCUCCUUCCCUUCCCUCCCCCCACCUCCAGCCACACCCAUCCGACCACCUGCCGGAUCACGCGCCGCCACGCCUGCAUCGCUCCGGUCUUCUCCCACAACUCGCGCAUCGCAAUGGCGCUCGCGCCCACGCGGUCUCCUCCAUGACCUCUCUCCCUUGCGGCGGCGGCGGCACACAUGACGCAUCUGACGGCGAGCUCCACAGGUCAACGCAUCCUCUCUUCUCUCCCAUGGAAGUCCCUCCCCUCUCACAUCUCUCUCUGUCUGCGAGCGGUGGCGGCCGGCUACGCGAGAGGUCGAUCUGGUCACGCCUUCCCACCAUUGACCGCGCUACGUCGCUAUCGGAGGGGCACCCUGCCGCUGUCGGGGACUCGCCGUCAUUGAAGCACGCCACCACGCCGCCGCUCUUCUGUCUCUCCCUGCUCGCCUCCCGCGGCAAAGACUGACCGCAUCCUGCACAAUCUUCGUCCGCCCCUCGAUUCCGACCCACCUGCGUGAAACAGACCGGCGAAGAAAUUUGGGCGCACAUCUCGCCUCACCAAAACAAUAAGAUUGCUUACCUCUCGCGCGUAUGACUUGGGGCGGCGGCGGCCGCCGCGGCCGUCAGCCGUUCAGAGCCUCCCACGACGGCACCAACGUCGGGCGGCCAAAGCCCAGCAUCAACGCCCAUUCCUUUUUUGCGUGUGCACUCUCCUCCAUUGCAUCCCCCUUCUCCAGCGCGCAUGGCUGAACCGUUGGAUCGAUGGCGUGCGUCUCUGCAUGUGCGUGCGAGUGGGCAUACGUGAUCUGUCCAUGGCGGGCAUGCGAGUGUGCUGUGUUGGGCGUGUUUGUCCCGUGGAUGCCCUGUGCACCUGCAGGAUCCAGACGGCUGUCUGUGGCCAAGCUCCGCCAUCCUACGCCGUAGGACUGACCCAGGCGACCUGAUCAGAGCAGGUUCGAUCUGAUAUACCCUUUUUUCCAUGGUCUUCCCACCCCCUCCCCUAUCAUCCGAUGUAUCAAGAAUCGAGGGUCAAGGCUAAUAUAGGAGGGUUGAUGAUCUAUAAUCAGCAGAUCGAUGGCCAUGAAGAUGGAGCCUGGAGCCAAGUAGCAGCUUUCCGGUUUAAGCUAGCUGAUGUAGAUGGAUAACGCUGUCGCCGCUAAUCAAGAGCGCGAGGGUGGCCAGGCGUGGCUGGGUGGUGACCUCGUGCAGAUCGCAAUCUGGAGGUAGGAAAAGGAGGUGCAUGUGUGCUGUGUUCAGGAAUUUGAACUCUAUUUCAACGUGAUCGACAUCCCAUUGUGAUGCACCGUCAGAUUGUUACCGUUUUUUUGGAGAAAGUUUGAUAUGAUUUUUCAUGGAAGGAUUCGCCUGUAUUAAAUGCCUUACUGAAUAUAGCAUUGGUUGCUUGAUUAGCAUUACUUCUUGAAGGACAAAACUAUUGAUUCUUUUUGGCUACAGCAAAAAGUUUUGGAUGCAGAGCUGGGUGGUUUCUUCAUAGAACUAAGGAGCCAGUAAAAAAACAUGAGAAUUCGUCACCUGUCUUAGCCAUCGCAACCUCCUGAACAAGGUUCCAAAGUUUGGCCGCAGCUAGCUUGAUAUGGAGACAUUUCCUAUUAGGAGUUAAACUUUGGUUUGGAGGAUCGAGCUUUGGCUGUAACUAGCUUUGUUACUUGGUAUACCUCUGUCAGCAUUCAGGAGCCGGGUAUUUGUUGAGCGGGUUGUGUGAGAGGCGGUCGGCGAGCACGGGCUAGACGGGAAGGUGAUGCUUGCAAUGGCGACCAUGCCGGUGGGCAGGGCAAGGUCGAUUGUGUCCAUUAUGGUGUUUCCGAGGGGGAGCGAGGCAUCUGCCAUCGCGCAUCUGAAGAAGUCGAUGCUCGGGGCGAGGUUGAUCACCGUGGCCGGCGUGAAAGCAGACGGACUUACAAGUUUCUUGGAUACGGCGCUUGCCUUUUUCCUGUAGGGGUUUCAGUCCGUAGGAGUAGUAUCUGCCAAAAAAAGGGAUGGUACGUUUCUUGAUUUGCCGGAGCAAAAAGGUGUUGGGUUUCCUGGUAUCUGAAUCCAAAGUUGCUUUGGACAGUUAAACGCCUAAA